GAGUAAUGUCUGGGAAACUGCCUGAUGGAGGGGGAUAACUACUGGAAACGGUGGCUAAUACCGCAUAACGUCGCAAGACCAAAGAGGGGGACCUUCGGGCCUCUUGCCAUCAGAUGUGCCCAGAUGGGAUUAGCUUGUUGGUGAGGUAACGGCUCACCAAGGCGACGAUCCCUAGCUGGUCUGAGAGGAUGACCAGCCACACUGGAACUGAGACACGGUCCAGACUCCUACGGGAGGCAGCAGUGGGGAAUAUUGCACAAUGGGCGCAAGCCUGAUGCAGCCAUGCCGCGUGUAUGAAGAAGGCCUUCGGGUUGUAAAGUACUUUCAGCGGGGAGGAAGGUGUUGUGGUUAAUAACCACAGCAAUUGACGUUACUCGCAGAAGAAGCACCGGCUAACUCCGUGCCAGCAGCCGCGGUAAUACGGAGGGUGCAAGCGUUAAUCGGAAUUACUGGGCGUAAAGCGCACGCAGGCGGUCUGUCAAGUCGGAUGUGAAAUCCCCGGGCUCAACCUGGGAACUGCAUUCGAAACUGGCAGGCUUGAGUCUUGUAGAGGGGGGUAGAAUUCCAGGUGUAGCGGUGAAAUGCGUAGAGAUCUGGAGGAAUACCGGUGGCGAAGGCGGCCCCCUGGACAAAGACUGACGCUCAGGUGCGAAAGCGUGGGGAGCAAACAGGAUUAGAUACCCUGGUAGUCCACGCCGUAAACGAUGUCUACUUGGAGGUUGUGCCCUUGAGGCGUGGCUUCCGGAGCUAACGCGUUAAGUAGACCGCCUGGGGAGUACGGCCGCAAGGUUAAAACUCAAAUGAAUUGACGGGGGCCCGCACAAGCGGUGGAGCAUGUGGUUUAAUUCGAUGCAACGCGAAGAACCUUACCUGGUCUUGACAUCCACGGAAGUUUUCAGAGAUGAGAAUGUGCCUUCGGGAACCGUGAGACAGGUGCUGCAUGGCUGUCGUCAGCUCGUGUUGUGAAAUGUUGGGUUAAGUCCCGCAACGAGCGCAACCCUUAUCCUUUGUUGCCAGCGGUCCGGCCGGGAACUCAAAGGAGACUGCCAGUGAUAAACUGGAGGAAGGUGGGGAUGACGUCAAGUCAUCAUGGCCCUUACGACCAGGGCUACACACGUGCUACAAUGGCGCAUACAAAGAGAAGCGACCUCGCGAGAGCAAGCGGACCUCAUAAAGUGCGUCGUAGUCCGGAUUGGAGUCUGCAACUCGACUCCAUGAAGUCGGAAUCGCUAGUAAUCGUGGAUCAGAAUGCCACGGUGAAUACGUUCCCGGGCCUUGUACACACCGCCCGUCACACCAUGGGAGUGGGUUGCAAAAGAAGUAGGUAGCUUAACCUUCGGGAGGGCGCUUACCACUUUGUGAUUCAUGACUGGGGUGAAGUCGUAACAAGGUAACCGUAGGGGAACCUGCGGUUGGA
This 1417-nucleotide ribosomal RNA is filed under the name Salmonella enterica subsp. enterica serovar Weltevreden. Its description in RNAcentral is "bacterial SSU rRNA". It matches the Rfam family "Bacterial small subunit ribosomal RNA". The record is from RNAcentral. Lineage: Bacteria; Pseudomonadati; Pseudomonadota; Gammaproteobacteria; Enterobacterales; Enterobacteriaceae.